This 468-nucleotide ribosomal RNA is filed under the name uncultured bacterium. Its description in RNAcentral is "partial 16S ribosomal RNA". It matches the Rfam family "Bacterial small subunit ribosomal RNA", at positions 28 to 507 of the family's 1533-position model. The record is from RNAcentral.
GACGAACGCUGGCGGCGUGCUUAACACAUGCAAGUCGAACGGAAAGGCCCUGCUUGUGUGGUGUGCUCGAGGGGCGAACGGGUGAGUAACGCGUGAGUAACCUGCCCUUGACUUUGGUAUAACUGCAGGAAACUGGGGCUAAUACCGGAUAGGAGCUCCUGCUGCAUGGUGGGGGUAGGAAAUUUUUGGCGGGUGGGGAUGGACUCGCGGCUUGUCAGCUUGUUGGUGGGGUAGUGGCUUACCAAGGCUUUGCCGGGUGGCCGGCCUGAGUGGGUGACCGGCCAAAUUGGGCCUGGGUUCCGGCCCAGCGCCCACCGGGAGGAAGCAGUGGGGAAUAUUGAACAUUGGGGGGAAGCCUGAUCAAGGAACGCCGGGUGCGGGAUGACGGCCUUCGGGUGGUAACCCGCUUUCGCAUGUGACGAAGCGUUUGUGACGGUAAUGGGUAAAGAAGCACCGGCUAACUACGUG